This 11073-nucleotide long non-coding RNA is filed under the name Olea europaea subsp. europaea. The record is from RNAcentral. Lineage: Eukaryota; Viridiplantae; Streptophyta; Magnoliopsida; Lamiales; Oleaceae.
CUUUAUGGUUGAGUGUGAUUCUUGGUUCCUUCUUGUGGAGUUGCUUUGUAGUUAUUUGGGUUAUUGAUCUGAGCCAUGUUCAACCAUUUUGGUGUCAAUCUUUGUGAUAAUUUAAUAGGAAGUCUUUAUCUUUAAUUCACAUUAUUAAUUCUAUUAUUGUUAUUGAUUUGGAACUCACUUUAUGUUUGUUUGAUCAAUUGAAGGUUAUAUUUACUUCACAAACUAGUAUCAAAGCGUCCGGUGGGUCGAUUGCUUGCUGUUUUUCAAUAUUUGGUAGUUGAAACCCGAAAUUGAUGUGUUCUAUUCAUUUGGGCCGUUGGUCUACUGAUUUUGCAAUAAGGACCUGAAUCUUAAUUAGAUUCGUAUCUCUCAUUGGUACAUACUACAAAUAGGUCGCUUUGGUAAAUUGGUUCAAACUCUUUAAAUUACUACAAUAGCAAGUAAUCAUGUGUGGUGAUUAAUAGAAUUGCAGCCUUGCCUGAUGCUAGUAUUUUUAGGACUAUUUACCUAAAUUGUAAUAUUAUCGUGUUUGUAGCUAUAUUGAUUGUUGUUUGAUUUCCAUAUUAUUGUUUAGCUCUUUGUGAUUAGAACUAUUACCUUUGACCUUACUCAGUUGAAAGCUCUCUUGAGACUAAGGUUCGAAUCUCACGACAAUCCUAGGAACUUAAAUCGGUGUAUAACUUGACCUAUAAGUCAUUCUUUGUGUGGUUGUCUUUUUGAACGUUGCUUACGUGCUACGUGUCUUAUUUGUUGAGAUGUUUUCACAUAGGGAUAACAAGGAGUCGAGCCGGCUCAUCAGUAGAAACUUGAAGCUCGAGCUCGGGUCGAGUAAAAAUGGUUUGAGCUUAUUUUGGCCCAAGUCGAGCUCAACAUUUGCUCGAUUGAAAAAUCUAGGCUUAACCAGAGGUUUCAGAUCUGGCCUUAGCAAGCGGAGCAGAGCCGAGCCUUCUCGUUUUUUUUUUUUUAAUUCAUGAAAAAUCUAACAUUUUUUCAAAGAAUUUAAAUUUUGUGCAAUUUAUACAAAUUAUAAAUUAACUAAAAAUUACAAUGUCCUCUUUUAUUUUAUUUUAUUAUUUUUUUUUGGGCUAAGAACCGACUACAAUUAAUGUAAGCAAAAUUAAAAUUGUACAAGAAUAAAAUACUUCGUAUACAAUUUUUCUUCAAACAAAUAAAUUUAAAAAUUAUGUAUUUUUUGAAAUUAAUCAAUUUAAAAAUAUAAAAUAUCCUAUUAUUAAAUCUAUUGCAACUGUUCAACCAUUAUACUAUCAACUUUUUGAUCUUUUAGUGCCAAGUACUUCUUCUUCUUCUUCGGUAUCCUCAAAAUCAAUUGGAACAUUUUGAAAUACAUCAUAGUCGGAUGAAGUACUCGAAUGACCCUUACACUAAUUAAUUUCAUUACUAAUAAAAUCCAUUAGUGGCUAUUAUAACAAAAGAUACUGAAUAUUAGAGUAAAAGAAACUAAAUAUUAGAACAAAGAUAUUGGAGAUUAAAGUUGAAACUAGAAUAUUGGAAGUUAAAAAUGAUUGAAGUAAACUGAUAUGAAACUCAAAAUUUUACCUCAUAUUUAUAGCCAAAAAAAAACGUGUUUCAAUCAAAUUUGAAUUUACAUAUGAAAUAUAGAACCAUAAAGCAGCUACAUAGUGUAACUGCAGACUAUACUGCUGCCUUAAUAGACGACUAUGUAUAGCUGCCUGUAUAAGACAGCUUUUACCAUGUGAUUUUUUUAAGCUUAGUUUGUUAUGAGCCGAAAAUGGCCCGCAUGGCUCGUCGAGCUACAUAAACUGGCCUGGGCUCGAGUUGGUGCCCCAAAAUGGGGCUUAGCAAGAUCCACGAGCUUGGGCCAGCUCGACUUUUCUCGGGCCGAGCCAUGUGCCACUUGAGCUGACAAGCCAAAUUGACACUCUAUCUGUGCAUCAUUUUGACUUGAGUGUCUUUAAUAGUAAAUGUAAUUUUUCUACUUGGCAACAAAAGAUAAAGGAGAUUUUAGAUGGUAAUCUUGUCAUUUUCAAUAAAUUGGUUCAAGAUAUCACAAAUUGUGGUAAAUAGGUUUCUAAUAAAUAGAAAGCUAUUAUUCCUUUGAAUGUUAUUCCUGAUAAUUAUAAGGAUGUCAAGAAUGCAAUCGAAUAUGGGAGGGAGAUUCAUAAAUCCAAUAUAGUUAUUGAUUCCUUAAAGGCUAGGGAGAGGGAAAUCAAAGUUGAAAGAAAUGAGAGAAAAGUGGGAGAGAUUCUCCAAAUGAGAGGUAGAACUCGGUUUAAGGUUGGAGAGGGGCAAAACAGUCUUGACAGGAAAAAGUGGAGACGUAGAUCUAAGUCACAGAGAAGGACUAAGGAAAGGAAAUGUUACGAUUGUGGAAAACUAGGACAUUUCAUAAAUGACAGCCAAAAAAUGAAAAACAAGUUGAGAGAUCAGAGAGGUGAUGAACCCAACGAGGCAAAGAUUGUUGUUAAGAGAGAAGAACUUGGUAAGGCUUACAUGCACUUAAUUAUAGAACCAGUCAAAAAAGCCUAUUUAUAAACUCUUAUAUGUAAGAGUGGAUUCUUGACUCAAAUACUUCUUCAUGUUAUAUCAAGAAUUAAAUUAAAAACUUAUUGGACCCACACCCAAUAUUUAAUGAUUUAAUCUAAAUCCUCGGUCCAAAAAACUUUAAAGGUCCAACAGUAGCAAUCUAAACAACAAUAGGUCUCUGCCACUGUACUAAGGUUGGCAACGGUUCGAUUAUGGGUCGGUUCGGUUAAUAACUACAAAAAUAAAUUAUUUUUUAUAGGUUCAUCCGUCAAAAUGAUAUAAAACAAUUUAUGAAAAAAGUCAAUGAAAACAAAAACACAAUAUUCCAAACGAAAAUGCAAACAUUAUCCCAAUUUUCAAUUGCAAAAUACAAAUUUAACAAACAAUAUUAUAAACAUAAGAAUACUAAACUUUUCCUUCAUUCUUAAUUGUUGUUGACAUGACCCGUCCCAAAUCACCCUAGUGGAUUCGAAACGUGACGUGCGCCGAUGACAGAUGCUGACUAGAUGUCAAAUCUAUCACCAAGGCUGACUAUAAGUUAUUUCAAAAAAUGCAACAAAAUCAAAUUCUUAUGUAAAAUAUAAUGCGAUGGGCUCAAAAUAUUUACUUCGUUCUUCAUCAAUAUGAAUUAUAACACUCAACAUGUCGUGUGGCUCUUUAGGCUCUUCCAGCUAAAAAGAAUCAGUUUCCACCUGUAGGAAAAUUACGAGAAAAUAUAUGAGUUGACAACUCAGUGAGUGGAGAAGUUCGAAAAUAAUUAUACUUUUUCAUUUUUAUCGAAAAUCGAGUUCAUAUCAUUGAUAACUCGCAAGAUAACAUCAUAUAAUUAUAGUCAAAAAGUGAAAUAUUCACAUAAGGUCAUAAAAUAUCAUCUUAAAAUCAUGAUAUAGAUAUCAGUUGAUAACCAUGCUAUAAUCUCAUCACAUCAAAUGUACUGAAAAAUCUACCGAAAAUGUACCUUCUAACUGAAAUAUAUAAUCCGCCCCUCGAGCUAAGAACUUUCGCCACGGGCCUUUGGGCCCUCCAUGAACGAAAGUCGGUCUCAAAGACCUCCCAUAAUCAAGUCUAGAACACGGCCAAGGCCCUUCAGUGAACUAUACAUACACGGUCGAGACCCUUUCCUCCCCGGUCCAAGACCCCUCAGUGUAGUAUAGAACACAGCCAAGGCCCCUCAGUGAACUAGAAAAAAUAUAUAAUCACGAGUACUUUUUUGGUCGAUCUCAAAAUCAUAUUUCAUAUUCCAAUUCACAAUAUAACGUAUACAAUCUUUGAAAUCCCACAUGUAUCAUAAUAAAAGAUAUUUCCAUAAUAACUAUGUAAUUCGAACAUGUAAUUGCACAUACUUUAACAAUAAACUUAAUUUAUAAAUACUUUAAAAAUAUUUAUAUUUUUCCACUCACACUACAAUGUUCGUAAAAUCAACCCGAUUGGUAAGCUGUUCUACUGUCAGUAUCGUAGUCUGAAAUACGAUAUAAUUUUUAAAUAAACAAUUAAUUAUUUUAAAUAAUUUCAAUAAUUAAAUAGGCGAUAUCCAAACUUAAUCAUUUCACGUUUAGGCGAUUUCUAAAAUCUUUUUAAUCACUAAACUAAUUUUUCUUUUAUUUUACUCAAUUUCAUAAUUUAUUAUACUUAACCCCUUCAAUAAAAUUGAAUUUAAUCUAACAAUCUAACAACUAUAUAAUCAAAUAUAACUUGACAAUAAAUAACUUUUUACUUACAUUUCAAAAUUGAGGAAUUCAAAUAUAAUAAUGUAGACCACUUAUUUUCUAACAACAUAGGUGAACUUUCCUUUUUUUUCUUCCUCUUCUCUUUUCUUUCUUCUUUUUCCUUUCUUUCCCCUCUCUUUUUCUCUUUCUCAUUUCUUCUCUGUUUGUAUAAUUGUUGUGUGUAAAUGGAUUGUAUAUAAACGGAUUGAUAUGAAAAUGAAAUGGAUUUAAAUUAUUAUAAUCAACCACCGCCUGACUUUGUCCACUUUUGUUUUGGUUUCAUUUUUCUUUUUUUAAGCUUGAUAUAUUUGACUUCAAUUUUAGAUUUUGACUUUUCUUUCUUUUUCUUUUUUUUUUAUUUAAAUAAUUGAGGCAUUACAGUUGUGCAUCGAAGUUACUUGAUUUAUUCUUCCUCACAAGUCUUACUAGCAUAAAUCAACACUUAAAGUUGAUUUCUAUAUAAUAAAUAAAAAAUGUAAUUAGAGAAUAAAAUGAUAGUACCUAUUUCAAAAUGGUCUUAAGUAAGAUUUAAAUAAAAAAAGUACCUCUUCGUUAGCUUCUUUCUCUCCAAACGUUGCACAAUCUCUAAAGUAUGAUGAAUGAGUAUAAUUUUCUAUACACAAUAGAAAAAAAUUAACAAUAAAAGGAAUUGUAUAAAUAACAAAUAUAAAAUAAUAAAUCCUAUCAUGAAUAUCAUUCCAAAACCAAUCCCUAACACACAUGAAAGCUUCUAGAGUCUUUAGGUGAAGCUUAUUUUUAUAUGGACUCACAAAUCUACCACUUGUACUAAAUGUCGACUCAGAUACCACUGUAGAUACUGGAAUGACUAAUAAAUCUCUUAAAACCUUCUGUAAAGUUGGAUAUUUUAUUGAAUUUGAUUUCCACCAUGUCAAUAAAUCAAAACCAUCCAUCCUUGGCAGUAUUGGCUCGUCUAGAAAAUCAUCGAACUCUAUUUUUACAUGAUUAACAGUAAUAGAAUGGCUAACAAAUGUAAAAAAAUUCAGAGGCGACGACGACUUGGACCGUGGAGGCAGUGGAGCCGUGCGUGAGUUUGUGGUUUGUGGAGAGUAGAGUUUGCAUUUAUAUACUGUCAUACUAAUGCCAUUUGGGCUAAUGGUAAGUGGGUUGGUCGGCUGAGUCAGGUAGAUAUAAUGGGGGGAUCUUGUUUUGGGCUAAAUAGAAAAAUAGUGUAAAACUCAAUAAUCAAUUCAAUUGUGUUUUUUUUUUAACUUUUUUUUUUUAAGUGGGUAAUCGGUUCAGUUUCGGUUCGACGACGUAAAUACGAUACCCGCACCGCCACGAACCAGUUCAUUAAAAUCAAAAUCAUAUCUGCCCCAUUACACCAUCGGUUCAAUUCCCCCCCCCCAAUUCGAUUCGGUUAACCGCGAUUUUCGAUUUUGACGAUUCAAAUUGUCAUCUUUACACUGUACCUGUAAAAAUUAAUUAAUUCUAAACCCAACUUAUCCAGAUUUCACCCAGUCUAUACAUAAAUAGGCCCCAAAAAAGAAAAGUCAGAGAAUUUACAGCGCCAAACGUAACAAGUUGUUGCGCGUGUAGCAAAUUGCUGCUGUCGGCAUUGAAAAAUUAAUUAUUAUUUUUUUGCUUUAAUUCUUGAAUGUUUCCUUGUCGUUUAUUCUUCAUUUUCAAUCAAUUUACAAGAUCAAACAACUACGAGAAUUUAAAAAUUACAUAGAUCUUAUAUCCCGGAGGUUCACAAUUGUAAAUCUAACUUAAAAGAAAGUUAAAUCAAGAUAAUGGAGUAAUAAUCCACUUAUCUUGUUGCAGACUCGAAAUAACGAAUUACAUCAAAAACUGACCACAAAUAAUUAGAUCACAAUCUAAAAUAAACCAAUUAUUUAAUCAACAUAUAAUAAAUUAUUCCUAGACAUCACUUGCUAGAAUAUGUAAUCAAGAUUCAGAAAUAACAAGCACGUGAACAAUUUAGAUUGCUCUGAUACCGGUUGUUAGAAUACGAAAAUAAAAUUACCUAGAAUAUAUAUAAAGGAUUUAAGUUUUUAUCUAAAUUUGAUAGUCAAUUCUCGAAUUAAUUCUUAAUUACGAAUUCUAGCUUUUUGGAUCACGAGUUUCCAGCUUUUUAAUUUCAAGAACUUGAUACUUCCAAUCUCUAAGCCUUUCAUGAUAUUCUUCAAAGUCAAGACCACAUCAAUAAGUGGACACCUUCUUAUAACUAAAUCAAGAAUUUAAUUAUUGGACUAAACAAUUGAAUAAGAUACGAAAAUAAUUAUUUUCUCUCACUCUUUUUUCUCUAUAAAUUUGAACAUUAUGAUAUUUAUGUAUUAUGAUUGUUCAUUUCUGUAGGAUGUUCAAAUUUAAUCUCUAAUCUCUAUUUACAGAGAUAUAAUAGUUUCAAUCCUUGUACAAUACUUGUUGCACAUUCAAAUAUGAGUGUUAAUUCAAAUUCAAGUAGGAGUUUUAAUUAAAGGCCACAUCCAAUUAGUUUAUAUUUAAUUAUAUUUGCAGUACUAGAACUUCAAUUACAAUUAUAAUUAAGUUUACAGCUUCACAGCAAUUACAAUAAGUACAAAACUUUUAUUGUAAUAACAAUUAAGUUCAAAACUAUUAUAAUUAUGUUAAUUAAGUUCCAAUACUUUAUAGAGCUACCACAAGGACCUAAUCAAACAUACAUUAUCCAAGCUCCAAUAAUUAGAUCUUGUUUAGACCAUUACCCGCCCAAUCAAAUUAUUAGUCUUUGCUUUUCCAUUAAAGGCAAAAGACUAAACUCUUGGAAUAUAUAAGAUUACAGAAAUCAAUAAAUUUGUAAUACUUUCCUUCGCCUUACUGUUUUACCUCUCUAAUUAUUUUUAAUAACUUAUAUAUAUACCGCUUUUUUCAAUGGUUUUAUGAACUAAUCACAUAUGUCGAAAUCUAAUCCUUGCAAAAUACUGAGUUCAGAUUUUAACCGUUCAAGAAAAAAUACUUAAAUAGUCAUUCUACACAUUUUCCAAGAUGGCGGUUCCUGAUACAAAUAUAUAUUCUCUGCUUGGCUCAUUCUUAAGCUUCCAACUCAUCGAGAUAUUUGACCAAUCAAAUUGAUCUCACUCAUUGAUGAAUAAAAAAAUCAUUAAAAUUAUGAAAAGAUAUACAUCUCUCUGUCAAGGAAUUUAAAUGAAAUACGUAGUGAGCAAGUAAAAUUUAAUUCUUCGCAUGGUCGCACUAUAAAAUUAAGCUCGACACGUACUAUGUUCAACAUAUUCCAAGUGUACUAAUGUCACCUUUGACUAUUUAUGGGAUAAAGACAAAUCACAAACCUGAUAGUGCAUUGGUCAACACUACAACAUUCUAGUAUAAGGUACCAGUAUCCAACUAUGUUACAUUGUACUUCUCAAUACAAGUACUCAACUUAUAUUAUUACAAGUGAUCAUAGGCACUUUAAUUCGCAUGCAUAAUAAUAAAUAAAUAAAACCAUAAUUUAUUUAUUAUGAAUUACUAUUAUAUCACAACAAAAUAUACUACGUGGCCACACAACCUAACAGCAUGUUUGCAAGAUGAUUUCUUAUAUUGUUUGUAAGCCUUUGACUAAAUCAAUGAUCUUAUAUAGUUUGUAAGUCUUUGGCUAAGUCGAUGAACAUCUUAUUUAGACUAAAAAGUCUCCUUCGAAAGUGUUUUAAGGGGUAAUGUUUUCAGAAUAAAGCUAGGCGCUAGUUAGGUAGUGUUUUCAGGGACAAUGUUUUCAGAAUAAAGCUGGGCGCCAACUGUUGAAGAAGCAAAACCCUUGUGUUUCACUACUCUGCAUUAAUGUUGUACGUUUUGGCAGGGGAAAUGAGAAGGGACUUGCACUGAACCUGGAAUCAACGAGGGCGACCAAUAGCAUAUGACUUUAUGCAAGGCUAGCUUCGCAAAGGGUCUCGACGCGAUGCAUCUAAAUAGAUAUUACAAAAUAUGUAUAGUCUUUAUUUUAUAACCCAUAAUUAAUACUAUUGCAAGUUUUGAAUCUUUCUAAUUUACGUAUGGUACCCUAGAUGUCCCAACCAAACUAGUUUAAAAAUAUGCCUAGUUGUCGCCUUAUUAUCACAACUUCUAUUGUUUAUUGUUGGUGUCAUUCCAAGUGACUAAGAAUGAUUCGUUAAAGUAACAGGCUUCCCUCGUGCCGAAAGGGAAGGGAAUACUUACAUUCCCACAAUGACCCAUACAAUACGGCUUUGCUAUUUGGAAAUUUGCUUGAGUAGAAAUCAAAAUAAGCAAAAUUGACACGAGUGAUUUGGCUUGCAGCAAAUGCAAUCCCAUUGUGUUGGCCUACAUUUGACACAAGGAAAAUCAUCUCUGACAUUAAAACAAGUCACAUGCACCCAGAAGCAAAGCUUUGAAUUUAGGAAUUGUACCAUUUUCAUUUUUGACCUUGUAAUCAUUGUGUACGGUUAAAGUGUGUACGGCAGUUCUGUAAACAAUGGGCUGGCAAAUUUGGCAUGAAGUCUCAACGGUCUAUUUGAAAUCUGUAUAUAUCUGUUGACACUUUUUAUUGCAAUCGAAUGUGUUGUCGCCUAACACCGGAAGCACAUGUUUGCUCAUUGCUGUAAAAUUUGAUAUACUUCAAAUUUCUUAAAAAAGGUUGAAUCCCAAUUUUGAGGACUUUCACCAUCCUGCUCCUAGAGUUUUUUGAGGGAGAUAAAUUGCGGGAUGUGUCCCAACAGGCCAGGAAACAAGAGUUAUCUGUACACUAUGCCUACAAGGAGUCCAAUUUCAUGUCUCAAGAAUCGAACUCCCACACUGCGGUUGCCAACAAGAUGUGAGAUAACCUCACUCUUGUCCUUUACACCACUGGACUAUGCCCGAGGGGCGAUAUACUUCAAAUUUCUUUGAUUGAUUCAUUGUGUACUACAAGAUUGUUAAUUUGACAAAGCCUCUUGUAAAAGUUCAAGCAAUUUUGAUAAAAGUUAUGUAACGAGUAGUAGCAAAAUUAAUAAAGUUGCAGAGUCCAUGAAAUGUAAAAUUAAAAUUUAAGUUUGACUAGUUCAAAAUUUAAUUAAAAAAAUUAGAAAAUUCUUGUCAAACAAGCACCGAAUUUGGGCGAUCAGUUUGUAUAUGACUUUGUCUAUGGUAUUCACAAUGGAAAAGAAAUGGAACGUAUAGGCCAUAACUAAUGUUAUUGCAAGACUUUUUCUAUGAUAAUUUCAUUUUUAAUUUUUCUUGUUACCAUUUAAUUGGGAUGUAUAGAGAAUUACAUCAUUUUGUCAUGGGUCACCAUUGAUGCCUUCUCCCAUGUGUUCAGUCUACUUUAUAAAUUACGAGAAUCACAUUUGUUAGACUUUUCGGACCUACAUGAUUAUAUUACACGGCUUGGAAUAAUUGUUUCAGAGAAAUAAUGAACCCCACUUUCUUCAACAAGAAGACCAUAACUGCAAUUAUUGAAGUCGUAUGGUUUUCCAUUAUCUUUUGAAACAUAGUUUUCACAACAUAAUUUCGAUUUUCUUAUUUUAAUUUAGAUAAGAGCAUAACUUUUAACUUGAACGAAGCCUUAUUCUUUUUCAAUUUUUUUUUCCACAUUAUGUAUUCUAUCCAAAUUAUAAAAACUUUGAUUUCAAUCGGGUUCACUCCAUCUAAUUUAAAUAUUUAAUCUUUGUCACAGAAAUCAAUGACGUAGUGUUAAUAAUUUAUGCCCAUUAUUUAUCUCAAUGAAGUGAUACUUAUAUCUUGUUAUCAACUAAUGGUUACGUAUAAUAACUGUCAUUUAUUGACUAUCCCAUCAACGAUUCGCAUUAGUGAAAUUGAAUAAAGUUGUCUUACUUGAAUCAAAUGAAAGUAUAGUUACAGAAGUAUAAUCAAAAUAAGUUGAAAGCACAUUUUGGUAUACUUAUCCGAUUCAACAAAAUUUAAGUAUAGUUAUCUAAUUGACACUAGAGUGAUGGAUGUGAUAACAUUUUGGUAAGUUUAGUGACAAUUCGAAAAACCUUAAAUUUCAAACUAGAAUAUUAACUUCAUUUUCCCGUGUUCACAUAGACAUAUAUAGAAUUUUUAUUUGUAUCUUUGUUAGGUAUUUUGAUACCAAAUAAAUUUGGGGGCGAUGAUGAAUUUGUCAGAUCGGAUAAAACCAAAUGGUUCGUUGGGAACCUAUUACUGAGACUAUUUAAAAUAGUCGAUCCAAUAACACACAAUUGGUAACCCACAAAAGAAGUUGGACUGAGUAUUGCAUUUAGGGCCCAACCAUAUACUUGACCUGAAGUGUAUUGCAUGUAUUUGUGCCUUUUGAGGUAUUAUAAUACUUACAUACGGUUUUAACACUUAAAACACUUUAGCCCCCAUUUGGUGAUUGCUUCUUUUCUGCAACUUUGCUGCCCCUUCUGUGCGUUCCCUUUUUUGAUACCUUCUGUGCCUCACCUUAUCGACAAAUUGGCUACUUGGUUCUUUCUCUUUCUUCUUUGGUUUUUUCCCUGUUUUGCGGCUGCAUGCGGCUGUUUCUGCGCGAUUCGUUGGGCGGUUUCCUUUGUGGUUGAGCGUGAUUCUUGGUUCCUUCUUGUGGAGUUGCUUUGUAGUUAUUGGGUUAUUGAUCUGAGCCAUGUUCAACCAUUUUGGUGUCAAUCUUUGGGAUAAUUUGGAACUCACUUUAUGUUUGUUUGAUCAAUUGAAGGUUAUAUUUACUUCACAAACUGGUAUCAAAGCCUCCAGUGGGUAGAUUGCUUGCUGUUUUUCAAUAUUUGAUAGUUGAAAAUCGAAAUUGCAGUGUUCCGUUCAAUUGGGGCGUUGGUCUACUGAUUUUGCAAUAAGGACCUGAAUCUUAAUUAGAUUGGCAUCUCUCAUUGGUACGGACUACAAAUAGGUCGCUUUGGUAAAUUGGUUGAAACUCUUUAAAUUACUACAAUAGCAAGUAAUCGUGUGUGGUGAUCAAUGGAAUUGCAGCCUUGCCUGA